AGUGAACGCUGGCGGUAGGCCUAACACAUGCCAGUCGAACGGCAGCACAGUAAGAGCUUGCUCUUACGGGUGGCGAGUGGCGGACGGGUGAGGAAUACAUCGGAAUCUACUUUUUCGUGGGGGCUAACGUAGGUAAACUUACGCUAAUACCGCAUACGACCUACGGGUGAAAGCAGGGGAUCUUCGGACCUUGCGCGAUUGAAUGAGCCGAUGUCGGAUUAGCUAGUUGGCGGGGUAAAGGCCCACCAAGGCGACGAUCCGUAGCUGGUCUGAGAGGAUGAUCAGCCAAACUGGAACUGAGACACGGUCCAGACUCCUACGGGAGGCAGCAGUGGGGAAUAUUGGACAAUGGGCGCAAGCCUGAUCCAGCCAUACCGCGUGGGUGAAGAAGGCCUUCGGGUUGUAAAGCCCUUUUGUUGGGAAAGAAAAGCAGCAGGUUAAUACCCCGCUGUUCUGACGGUACCCAAAGAAUAAGCACCGGCUAACUUCGUG
Molecule: ribosomal RNA, 492 nt
Filed under: uncultured bacterium
Lineage: Bacteria
Description: partial 16S ribosomal RNA
Rfam family: Bacterial small subunit ribosomal RNA
Source: RNAcentral